RNAcentral lists this ribosomal RNA (494 nucleotides) under uncultured bacterium. RNAcentral's name for it is "partial 16S ribosomal RNA". It matches the Rfam family "Bacterial small subunit ribosomal RNA", at positions 28 to 507 of the family's 1533-position model. The record is from RNAcentral.
GACGAACGCUGGCGGCGUGCUUAACACAUGCAAGUCGAACGGUGAAGCGCCUUCCUUUUUGGUGGGUGUGGAUGAGUGGCGAACGGGUGAGUAACACGUGAGUAACCUGCCCCCUUCUUCUGGAUAACCGCAUGAAAGUGUGGCUAAUACGGGAUAUUCUGGGUCUGUCGCAUGAUGGGUCUGGGAAAGAUAUUGUUUCGGUGGGGGAUGGGCUCGCGGCCUAUCAGCUUGUUGGUGGGGUGAUGGCCUACCAAGGCGGUGACGGGCAGCCGGCCUGAGAGGGUGGACGGUCACACUGGGACUGAGACACGGCCCAGACUCCUACGGGAGGCAGCAGUGGGGAAUAUUGCACAAUGGGCGCAAGCCUGAUGCAGCGACGCCGCGUGAGGGAUGGAGGCCUUCGGGUUGUGAACCUCUUUCGCCAGUGAAGCAGGCCUGCCUCGUUUGUGGGUGGGUUGACGGUAGCUGGAGAAGAAGCGCCGGCUAACUACGUG